GAUGAACGCUGGCGGCGUGCCUAAUGCAUGCAAGUCGAGCGAACGGACGAGAAGCUUGCUUCUCUGAUGUUAGCGGCGGACGGGUGAGUAACACGUGGAUAACCUACCUAUAAGACUGGGAUAACUUCGGGAAACCGGAGCUAAUACCGGAUAAUAUUUUGAACCGCAUGGUUCAAAAGUGAAAGACGGUCUUGCUGUCACUUAUAGAUGGAUCCGCGCUGCAUUAGCUAGUUGGUAAGGUAACGGCUUACCAAGGCAACGAUGCAUAGCCGACCUGAGAGGGUGAUCGGCCACACUGGAACUGAGACACGGUCCAGACUCCUACGGGAGGCAGCAAUAGGGAAUCUUCCGCAAUGGGCGAAAGCCUGACGGAGCAACGCCGCGUGAGUGAUGAAGGUCUUCGGAUCGUAAAACUCUGUUAUUAGGGAAGAACAUAUGUGUAAGUAACUGUGCACAUCUUGACGGUACCUAAUCAGAAAGCCACGGCUAACUACGUG
Molecule: ribosomal RNA, 497 nt
Filed under: uncultured bacterium
Lineage: Bacteria
Description: partial 16S ribosomal RNA
Rfam family: Bacterial small subunit ribosomal RNA
Source: RNAcentral